This 216-nucleotide ribosomal RNA is filed under the name Glomeromycotina sp. RNAcentral describes it as "partial small subunit ribosomal RNA". The stretch from base 40 to 216 matches the Rfam family "Eukaryotic small subunit ribosomal RNA", at positions 686 to 864 of the family's 1831-position model. Lineage: Eukaryota; Fungi; Glomeromycota. The record is from RNAcentral.
GGGUCAGUGGGUUGGUCGUGCCUCCGGUACGUACUGGUCUCACUGAUUCCUCCUUCCUGAAGAACCGUAAUGCCAUUAAUUUGGUGUUGCGGGGAAACAGGACUGUUACUUUGAAAAAAUUAGAGUGUUUAAAGCAAGCUAACGCUUGAAUACAUUAGCAUGGAAUAAUGAAAUAGGACGAUCGAUCCUAUUUUGUUGGUUUCUAGGAUUGACGUA